GACGAACGCUGGCGGCGUGCUUAACACAUGCAAGUCGAACGGAAAGGCCUGCUUUCCCUUGUGGAUUGCGGGUACUCGAGUGGCGAACGGGUGAGUAACACGUGAGUGAUCUGCCCCCAACUUGGGUAUAAUCCUGGGAAACUGGGUCUAAUUCCCGAUAGGACUGCAGGGUGGUGCCUGUGGUGGAAAACGAUUUUCUAGUGGUUGGGGAUGAGCUCGCGGCCUAUCAGCUUGUUGGUGGGGUAAUGGCCUACCAAGGCGGCGACGGGUAGCCGGCCUGAGAGGGUGGAGGGGGACAUUGGGACUGAGAUACGGCCCAGACUCCUACGGGAGGCAGCAGUGGGGAAUAUUGGACAAUGGGCGGAAGCCUGAUGCAGCGACGCCGCGUGGGGGAUGACGGCCUUCGGGUUGUAAACUCCUUUCGACCGCGAGGAAGCCACCUGGUUGGAAGGGUGGUGACGGUAGUGGUAGAAGAAGCACCGGCUAACUACGUG
Molecule: ribosomal RNA, 494 nt
Filed under: uncultured bacterium
Lineage: Bacteria
Description: partial 16S ribosomal RNA
Rfam family: Bacterial small subunit ribosomal RNA
Source: RNAcentral